This 219-nucleotide long non-coding RNA is filed under the name Elaeis guineensis (African oil palm). RNAcentral's name for it is "long non-coding RNA (EGUI_LNC060417)". Lineage: Eukaryota; Viridiplantae; Streptophyta; Magnoliopsida; Arecales; Arecaceae. The record is from RNAcentral.
AUUGAGUUUUGACUCAAGAUUUCAAACAAGUCAUAGGCUUCGUCCUCACUCUUGCUCAUGAAUGCACCUCCAUAAGAUGCAUCUACCUUCUGUCUAUACUGAUCUCCUAAAUCCUAAUAGAAAGCUUGAACAAUUUGCCACUUUGGUAGACCAUUAGGUGGGUAUUUUCUAAGAACUUUCUUAAGUCUCUCCCAUGACUCAUGAAUUUGUUCUCCUGGA